Long non-coding RNA from Aedes albopictus (Asian tiger mosquito), 816 nucleotides. RefSeq lists it as uncharacterized. The transcript has 3 exons. The record is from RefSeq and is a predicted model, not a curated record. NCBI's taxonomy places the organism in Eukaryota, Metazoa, Arthropoda, Insecta, Diptera, Culicidae.
UGCUUAACAAAAACAACGUGAUAUACAGAAUUGACUGUAGAGACUGUCCCAGCGCAUACAUCGGAAUGACUACCAACAAGUUGCGGACCCGCAUGUAUGGCCAUCAAACCCACAUCAACACUCUUGAAAACAAACUGGCAGAAGGUUACCAAUACACCGAUCCCGAAAUACAGCUGUUACAAGAGAAAUCGGCACUGAUGAACCACUGUAUCAAUCACCAACACCGUUUCAACAUCCAACAACCAUCCCUCGUCGAUUCAACCUACAAGAGACAAGCUCUGCAAGUGUUGGAAAUGUGCCAUAUUGCGACGACUUCCAACACGGUCAACCAUCGGACAGACACCGAUAAUUUAAGCUGUGCGUACGCAAAUCUGCUCUCAACGAUCAAAACCCAGAGAGGAGCGAGAAAUGCGUCGUCAACUACUAACCAAAAUCGACAAAAUACAAGAAUUCUAACCACCCCACUAACACAAACAAAUCCGACCAACCAAACAGCACCAACUAUAAACACCCCACAGUAACCCCAAUCUGGCGAACAAGAACAGAAGUGUUCCCAAAGUGCCAAGUGUUGCGACUCGAACGGUUAAACGUACCACCCACCCACCAUCUCAACCAGGGUGCUGGUUGGUCUAAUGUUACAAGUGCGGUGCCCGAACCCAAUGCAAACGACAUUCCACCGUGUGAUCAACACGAUCUUCACAAGUUGAUUCAUAUCGAGCCCUGAUGAAGAUCCCAACCAUAGGAUCGAAACGUAGGCAAUGAUUUAGAAUAAUCAACGCUUUUUCUGUGACUGAAAGCCGAAAACCUACCAAAUCU